UACAGAGGGUGCGAGCGUUAAUCGGAAUUACUGGGCGUAAAGCGCGCGUAGGCGGCUUUGCAAGUCGGGUGUGAAAUCCCCAGGCUUAACCUGGGAACUGCAUUCGAGACUGCAUUGCUAGAGUAUGGGGAGAGGGAAGUGGAAUUUCCGGUGUAGCGGUGAAAUGCGUAGAUAUCGGAAGGAACAUCAGUGGCGAAAGCGACUUCCUGGACCAAUACUGACGCUCAUGUGCGAAA
RNAcentral lists this ribosomal RNA (236 nucleotides) under uncultured bacterium. RNAcentral's name for it is "partial 16S ribosomal RNA". It matches the Rfam family "Bacterial small subunit ribosomal RNA", at positions 524 to 758 of the family's 1533-position model. The record is from RNAcentral.